UUCAAGAACUCCAACCAGAUCUGCAGCAAAAAUGCGCAGAUCAGAGUCCACUUCCUCCUUUGCUUUGUCGAACUUUGUUCUAAUCAUCAUUAAGACUUCCUCCAAAUUAUUUAAACCUCGAGGCUUCCAGAAUGGAUAAGGCCGUACACCUUUGGAAUUAAGUUCAUGGGAAAAACUUUUUAUAUCUGACGGGGACCUUUUCCUAGGUGCACUCGUUACCCGCAGUAUAGCUUGUACGCGAGGAGAUUCGGACUCCUUUGGGUUUUCCCAUUCAUAAGAUGUCUUCAAUUCAGGAGUAUAUACAUCCAUGCCCCUGAGACCUCCAGAAUGGCUCCAAGAUGGAUUGAAUUGCCCUGCUCCAGAAGAUGAGUCUCCGGCCUGCAGCCUAGAUGUUCCAGGUAUAUGUUUGCUUCGGUCCUUCAAUGCAGCACUCCCAGCAGACAUACCAUCUGAAUU
Molecule: unclassified non-coding RNA, 456 nt
Filed under: Hevea brasiliensis (rubber tree)
Lineage: Eukaryota; Viridiplantae; Streptophyta; Magnoliopsida; Malpighiales; Euphorbiaceae
Source: RNAcentral